Molecule: long non-coding RNA, 683 nt
Organism: Ictalurus punctatus (channel catfish)
Lineage: Eukaryota; Metazoa; Chordata; Actinopteri; Siluriformes; Ictaluridae
Source: Ensembl
GUUCUCACGGACACACUGAAAGGUGGCUCAAUGGCCCAAAAAGGAAGAGAAAGAAUAGUCAGUGUUCGUUGAAGAGCAUGUCAGAAUCGGACGCAGACGCAGAGAGCGAGUCCGAUGUAGCCGUGAUGAAGAGAAACGUUGCAGAUGAGUAGAGAAGAGAUCGAUAGACGAAGGAUAAAAACCGUCGCGUUCCCGUUCUCGACGACUCCGGGCGGUGAAGUCGUGAGGUUUGGCUCGGGGUAAAGCGUAAAGAUAAACGCCUUGAUGACUCGAUGCUGCUCAAGAGUUCAAGAGGCGUCGAAAGUCACUGUCCUGCCCAGACGCUGGUGUAUGGAGGGUAGGGAGGCAGGGAAAUGCAGCGGGCGCUCGACACGAUGAGACAGCUGUAGCAUAACUGUGUGAAAGGGUCCGUGUUUAUUCUGCGUCCUGGAUGCAGCGCUAGAUCCGGCUUCAAGUGUUGGCCGAUAAAAAUAGUCUGUAUGUACUAUAUAUAUAUGUGUGUGUGUGUGUGUGUGUGUGUGUGUGUGUGUGUGUGUCAUACAAAUCUGGCAAAAAAAUUGCCCCAAAUGACAAGAUUAACAUUACGGACUCCAAAAAUCUAUCUAUCUUUUUUUUUUUUUUUUUUUUUUUUCAAUUUGAGAAAGAAAAAAAAAAACUACUUUGUUUAAAAAAAAAAAAAAAAA